This 5122-nucleotide long non-coding RNA is filed under the name Homo sapiens (human). Its description in RNAcentral is "non-protein coding lnc-TMEM132C-6:9". The record is from RNAcentral. Lineage: Eukaryota; Metazoa; Chordata; Mammalia; Primates; Hominidae.
GGAAAGCGCGGGGUAGAAAGGGCAGAGUCCGUGACUAGGCCUCUAGCCCCAGGGACCUAGGCGAGGACAGGCACUCCUGCUUUUCCAAGAGCACCCUGGCCCGCCACGCCCCCAGCCUGGGCCUAUAAACACCCACGACCCUAGCAAGGCAGAGACAGAAGCUGCUGGAGGGCGAGAGGAACGCAUCAGUGGAAGAAGACAGAAGCGGCUGGUCACGGAGAGCAUGUCAGCAGAAGAACACACCUACAGACGCCGGCUCGCCCGCGGGCUCCCCGGCAGGCCAUCGACCGGUGGGACGAGGUGGAGUUUGUCCUGGGCAGUAGGAGGACAGCCCGGGCACCCAGCGGCCCAACUCCAGGGGAAAGCCAUCUCCCUUCUGGAGCUGCCCAACUCCGGGGGAAAACCAUCUCCUUUCUGACUCUCCUGUCGGUGGAGAGUUACUUCCACUCAAUACGAUUUUGCAGUCAUUCUCCAAGCCCACGUGUGAUCCGAUUCUUCCGGUACACCAAGGCAAGAACCCGGGAUACAGAAAGCCCUCUGGCCUUAUGACAAGGUAGAGGGUCUAACUGAGCUAUAGACCGUGAACUAAGAGCGCACCCUGGAACACACGCCCUCUGGGGCUUCAGCUGUAAACAUCCACCCUUAGACACUGCCAUGGGGUUGGAGCCCCACAACCUGCCCAUCUCUAUGCCCCACUAGAGGUAUGACCAACGGGGCACUGAAGAGGCGAGCACACCCCAUCGCACGCCCUGCAAGGGGGACGGGGGAACCUUUCCCAUUUCAACACCACCGCUGUGGCUGCAUGUGGCUGCCAUAAGAAAAAGAACCCAUUCUUUGGCACAGCUGAAGCAGGACUCUUCUCGUUGUUCUCCAGAGUCUGGCUGGCCUGGAACGUGCCAUGACUGUACAAUAUGAUAGGAGGGAGACUGUACCAGCUCCAAGCCAGCUUUUCUGAUACCUGCAGCUUCUGAUUCCUCUGGAGGAGAAGUCAGCUACUAGCAGAGUCAACUUUGAGCCCUGUUGCAAUGGUUCUUCUUCUAAGAAAAUGAUGACACCCGGCUUUGUAAAAGAAUUCUUUGCUCCCUGGAAUGUGAUGUACUGGAACAAGAUGCAUUUCCACGUCUGUAACAAAACAAAGAAAAACAAAAACACUUUUAGAGACUGUAAAAUAAUAAAAUUAUCAACUGCAACACCUCAGGGACGGCCCAGAUGCUCCUAUGGCCACGCACCUGCAGCAGGGACCUUCUCCCAGGUCGCCCCUACCGCCUGCCCAACUCGACCCCCGUCGUCUGCGCCUGCGCCCAGGCGCCUCUCACGCACCCCGGGCCCCCACCACCCUUUCCUGAGAACGUGAGCUUCGCCGUCUGCGCCUGCGCAAGGGAGCCCACCCGCUUCGCCGGAACUACCGCGGCACGAAGCCCCGCCCCCGCCCUCCUAGCCGUGGUCGCAGCCGUGUGCGCCUGCGCGCGGGAUCCUCGCCGGCCUCGCUCUCUGCGCGGUCGGCGGCGCUGCAGGCGAGCACAGGACGAUGACGAAGAGGACGGGGCUGCUGAGCGAUCCCCAGCACCCAAGGACCUGGAGCCCCAGGUCGCAGCCUCAGGACCCGGAGGAUGUGCCCAGCACCUCCAGGAGACGCGCGGACGAGGUCGUCGCCCCGCGGCUCGCCAAUCAGGCGUAGUGUGGAGACAGGGCGGGGAGUACGCUGGCGGCCGUGUAGACCCGCAGCACGACACGGUGGACUCAGCCCGGGAGGGAGUCUAGCUGCGGGCCAUGUCCAGCGUGGAUUCCAGAACCCGCCGCCUAGAGUCGCGGGGCGUCCUGAGGGAGAACUGGCCCCUAGUGGGAGUUGGGCGCGUCCCUGGAACCUCCCCUCCUCGAGGGCUGGGAGUUAGCGGGAAGAAGAAGAGGCCGCGGGCACCAUGAUUCAGACCCGGAAACUACGCCUCCAGGCAUGGCUAGGAGAAAUGGGCUUCGGAGACCAUGGCCACCCCUCUCCCUGCCUAGGAGCACGCCUGCCCCAGCACCCGGGCCUGAACGCAGCGAGAGCUCCAGAGCCUGCGAGUCCCAGAGGUCAGGAUCCGUUCCUUCUGAGGUGUCCCUAGGAGCUCCCUGAACCUCAAGCCAAAGGCCAGGCUACGGUGGUCAAGUCCCCCAAGUAGGGGGUCUUUUAAAAUACUUGGGUGGCUGGGACGGUGGCUCAAGCCUGUAAUCCCAGCACUUUGGGAGGCCGAGGCGGGUGGAUUGCUUGAGCUCAAGAAUUCAAGACCAACGUGGGCAGCAUAGCAAGACUCCCUACAAAAAAAAUAAUAAUAAGAUUUUAUAUAUAUAUAUAUAUAUAUAUAUAUAUGUACACACACAAACACGUACACAAAAAAUAGCCGGGCAUGGGGCUGCAGGCCUGUAGUACCAGUUACUGGGGAGGUUGAGAUGGGAGGAUUGAUUGAGCCUAAGAAGUGGAGGCUACAGUGAGCCAAGAUUGCAUCACUGCAUGCCAGCCUGGGCAACAGAGCAAGACCCUGUCUCAAGGGAGGAAAAAAUAAAAAAAUAAAUAAAAAUUUAAAAAAAGAACACUUGAAGUUACUCAGAUCAGGACUCAUGCAGAGAAAAGCCAACAGGAGCAACACCCCACAUUAGGGGAGGAAGACACCUGGGGAUUCACUGACUUCAGUUGUGUGAAUUUUACCCUAUGACCUUGCUUGCUUUAUGAGACAGCAGAGGUGGCCAAGGUCAAUCCUACUGCUCUGUGGUGAACUCUGCUUUUCUCUCGUUACCAUAGGUAAAGGGUCAUGCUCCUAUGUAAGCCUUCCUGUUCCCCAGUCAUUUGUGCACGGGGUAGGCCAUCAUCUCCUGCCUAUUCAAGGGAAUGACUAGUCCUGUCUUCUGUAUCCUCAGUCACCAACUUCUCAGUUAGUGUUGGACCAAGCCUAUGUUCAAAACAUGACUGAGACAGACCUCAAUCCAUAGAGAUUUAUUUAGCCAAGGUCCAAGGACACAUCUAGGAAAAAAUACGGGAUCACAGGAGCAUCUGCGCCUUCUACUUUUUCCAAAGAGGGUUUUGGGAACUUCAGUAUUUAAAGGGGAAACAGCAAGCAGGUGAGGAAAAAAAGCGAGGAAGUGUAGGCAAUGACAGAUGCUCACAUUCUUGUGAAACUCUGUUUACCCUAGUAAAUCUGCAUUUUACAUGUGAAAAGAGGGAGUAAAGGAAAUAGUCAAUAAUGCAUUCCUCUCAGGAUAGGCCCACGUGGAUUUUUAAUCUUGUCCUUGCCCUGUGAAGAUAAGCUGGUAACUGACAUUGUCAGGGUGAGAUUCAGCAGAACUCAGUUUUAGGACUAACUUACAGAGGAGCUGUGUAUCCUGAAGAUUCAGCGACUGGCAAGGAAUUUCCUUGGGAGCAAUGUGUGAGGGAGGCCAUCUGAGGAGAUCUGUGGCUUUCUUUUGUUGUGGGAAUCUGGCUUAUGGAUGAAUCUACGACACAGGAUUGUGAAAUUACAGCUCUUUGGGAACAAAAGGAAGGCAGUAUUGCAUGACUUAGUUUCCCAGCUUCACUUUCCCUUUGGCAUGGUGAGUUUGGGGUCUUGAGAGUCUAUUUUCUUUCACACCCAUCAGCACUGUUAAGUAAGCAGGAAGACAACCUGAGGUUGUCUCUUUACUUUGAGUUCCUACAUAAUAAAUUGCAGCCUAAUUUAGUACAUAAACCCAAACCUAAUUUAGGAGUAAAUUUUUUGUAGCAGAUAGCCAGAUUUCAGCCAAUCACAGGCUUCCAGCUAACAAGACUAUGCCCAAAUAAGGCAAAUGCCUCAUCACAUGAUGCUCAAAUAAGGCAGCCACCUAGGCGAGGCCAAUCAGGUAACUUUUCUACUUUGCUUAAUUGUUCAGCCUGUACAAAUUUGCUGCUUAUGACUGCUGAGCAGAGCUGUCUAAACCUCUUCUGGUUUGGAGUGCUGCCUUAUAUAUGAAUUGUUCUUUGGUCACAUAAAAUUGGUUAAAUUUAACUUCUCUAAAGUUUUGUAUUAAAUUGUAUGUAAAACAUUGGUAGCACAAUUUGGAUUCAGAUACCCAAAUAUUGACUAUGAUAAUGUAAAUAAUCCUUAAGCAGACUGAUUUACAAAGGCCUGAACAAGUUUGAUAUUCUGAAUAUUCACUUCUUCUGAUGAAAAAAUUGCCAAGACCUUACAAUUGGCAGGAAAAAAAAUGUGUGUUGGUUAAAUAAGUUAUGUUAACAACAAGAACAUUACCACAAUUAGAAAACUCUUACUAUGCCAGGCACUAUUAUAAACACACCUUUGUACCUUUUUUAAUCCUGAAAAAUUUCUAAUAAAUAUGCAUUUAAUAUUAUUUGUAUUUAAUAUUAAGUGUAUUUAAUAUUGCCCCUGUUUUGUGAAUUAAUGCAGCAAUAAACUGGCUUGCAAUGGUGAUGUAUUCUAUAAGGCAGCCAUUGUUGUCAUAAUGCUACAUAACACUACCCGAAUCUCAGUUGCUUAUAAUUCAAGUACUUAUUUUUCUUGUCCAUAAUCUGUGAAUCCUGCUGAAAUCAGCUAGACUUUGCUCCAGGAUGAGGGAUUGGUCCAAUUCUGUUCCAUCUUUCCACGCAUCUUUCAUCAGGUUAUUAGGAAAGAGUACACUUCACUGGCUGCUCUACUGGGAGGCUUUAUCUCCAUUAAGUGAACCACAGAGAAAAAAGAAGAGAAGAGUUUUACUUCUGUCAUCUGGUGAUACAUUGCUUUGGUGAAUACAAGAAACCACAGGAUAAGCAACAGGGCUCUUUGGUAAAUUCCACAGGCUCUCCUGAUAGGGCAGCCAAGUCUUUUCCCAGUAGCCAGCCCUUUGCACUAAAACAUGUGGAUUUUAUUUCUAUGGAUGUUGUGAGUGUGGACCUAAACUUCUCUAAGAGAACUUGUAUUUCUCAAGCCUAAAGAUGUAUUACAUUUUUUUGUAUUUGUAUUUGAUCCACAUAAAGAAGGGGAAAAAAAUUUGUGUGUGUGGAUAGCAUUCCAAGAAGGAACUCUAGCCCCAGGAAAGCUGCUAUUUCUGCUCUUCUCCAGCUACCUGCCAACAAUUUGUCCUCAAAAGAGGCUCUUUCUGACUAUUUACAGAUCUGUCACUUACAGAUUGGCAAUUUUCA